GUGAGGUAACGGCUCACCAAGGCAAUGACGGGUAGCGGGUCUGAGAGGAUGGUCCGCCACACUGGGACUGAGACACUGCCCAGACUCCUACGGGAGGCUGCAGUCGAGAAUCUUCCACAAUGGGCGAAAGCCUGAUGGAGCGACGCUGCGUGCAGGAUGAAGGCCUUAGGGUUGUAAACUGCUGUCACGCUAUAGGAACCCGUAGUCGUUAAUAGCGGCUGCGCUGACCAAAGCGAGAGGAAGUGCCGGCUAACUCCGUGCCAGCAGCCGCGGUAAUACGGAGGGCGCAAGCGUUGUUCGGAUUCACUGGGCAUAAAGAGCAUGUAGGCGGUCUACUCAGUCGGAUGUGAAAGCCCUCGGCCCAACCGGGGAACUGCAUUCGAUACUGGUAGACUAGAGGACGGCAGGGGUAAGUGGAACUCCAGGUGGAACGGUGAAAUGUGUAGAUAUCUGGAGGAACACCGGUGGCGAAAGCGGCUUACUGGGCCGUCUCUGACGCUGAGAUGCGAAAGCCAGGGGAGCGAACGGGAUUAGAUACCCCGGUAGUCCUGGCCGUAAACGAUGGGCACUAGGCAAUGGUUUUACCUAUGGAGAUCAUUGCCGUAGCUAAUGUGUUAAGUG
This 621-nucleotide ribosomal RNA is filed under the name uncultured Actinomycetes bacterium. RNAcentral's name for it is "bacterial SSU rRNA". It matches the Rfam family "Bacterial small subunit ribosomal RNA", at positions 252 to 866 of the family's 1533-position model. The record is from RNAcentral. Lineage: Bacteria; Bacillati; Actinomycetota; Actinomycetes.